AGGUAUCGUGUCCAAGUUGAUGUGCGAGAUGAUACCGAUAGUGCUGAAUUUGUGAUAUGGGACCGAGAAGCUUCUUUGUGGAUCAAAAAGUCAGCUGCAAUUGUUCAAAAGGAAGCAGAUGAGGCUGAUGAGUUGCCGGGUAUGCCUCCUGUUGCAUUGGAUAUUUUUGUUGGGAAAACUUUCAUAUUCAAGAUAAAAACUGAUGAUAGUAAGAAUGGAAAAUAUGCGAAGAGUUAUUCUGUGUACACAAUGACUGAUGCUCCUGAUAUGAUCAAACUUUUUACCUCAAAUGAUGACACAGUACAGGAUUCGUUGCAAAUUGGUAGUAUUGAUGCAAAUAGUGAGCUAUCUAUUCAAAAGC
Long non-coding RNA from Lotus japonicus, 361 nucleotides. RefSeq lists it as uncharacterized. The transcript has 3 exons. The record is from RefSeq and is a predicted model, not a curated record. NCBI's taxonomy places the organism in Eukaryota, Viridiplantae, Streptophyta, Magnoliopsida, Fabales, Fabaceae.